Molecule: long non-coding RNA, 1747 nt
Filed under: Homo sapiens (human)
Lineage: Eukaryota; Metazoa; Chordata; Mammalia; Primates; Hominidae
Description: HSALNT0355002
Source: RNAcentral
UUACAGGCGUCAGCCACCGCGCCCGGCCCCCGGCUCCCUUUGAAGAGGACAGAACCCCACCGCCAGAAAGACUGGAACAGAGAGAGGCUGGCAUUCCCCCACAGUGCUGCAGUGUCCCAAGCACAGACCAAAAAAUCUCCAGAGCCUGGAACAUCUCCCCCGCCACAGACACAUACACAUCUCUUUGAGCCUCCUGUUCUGAUCUGUAAAAUUGGGAUGUCCACAGCAUACGGCUGUGAGGAUAGAGAAGUGCUUGGCACAGCUUCUGGCAUGCCAUCAGUGCCUACUAAGCAGCAGGAGCUGUUCUUUGGGUUUAGAUGAACCCCCUCACACCUUUCCAUCCCUUCCAGUCCUGUUAAUGCUCCCAGGAAGCUCACUGGAAGGAAACUAGGAAGACUCACCCACAUUUUGCUGCGCACAAAUGCACUCUAGAGCACUGAUGAUGUGCUAGGCGCUGUCUAGUGCUCCCCUUAGAUUUCAGACUCACAGCAAGCCUGGAGAUCAGUACUGUGGAUCCCAUUUUAUAGAAGAGAAAACAAGCACAAGUUGUUUUAUGUGGCUCACCCAGCAAGGUAGGUUUCAAGCUGGGCAGGAGGUCUCUGCAUCCCAUGUGGAGGAAAAGGGACUGAGACCCAGUAAAAGUGCCAACAGGUCCACACUGAGCCCUGAGGUAGGACUCCUCCUCAGUGCUUCUUCCAUAAGAGUUGCCUGCCCUCAGCCAAUCAAAGCUUCCCGUUUCCUUGCAGGCCCUGGGCCUAUCCACACCCAGCCCAGGAAGGCUCCACCACAACCCUCCCCUAUGAGCCAGACCUAGUCACCAGAACAGUCAACUCUCUAUCCAGCUCCAGCUACGUCUCCCAAAAUGCAGCCCUCACCUCUAAGUUUAAUGGGGGGAAGGGCAGGCAUGAAACUGCUGGUUACAAUGUAAUGACAAGAGGGUGAGGCAGCAUGACUCUGGGACUCCUAACUCCCAAGUGUUGGGGCUCACAGAUUGCCCACAGGAAGUGACUUUCCAGCAGAGAGCUGGAGGUGGUGCACAGGUAAGGAGAGGAAAGGGCAAGUGGGUGUCUAGGCCCCGAGAUCAGAGGGUAGAGUCCCAAGAGGUCAAGGUGAAGGGUACCACCUUGAGGGAGGCCUCCAGGUGGGGAGUCUCAGAAGUGUGAACCAGGAGAGGUCGGCGGGGACCGGGUUGGCGGGCCAGAGAAGUUUCUGAGCACCUGGAGGACGCGGGGAGGCAAGGGAGGGGUUUAAGCCGGGGAGUGGGCCACGUGAUUGGCUAUGCUCAGGCUGAAGGGGAGGAGGAGGAAGCUGGAAGCCAAGAUGAGGAGGUGGCAGAGAUUCAGGCCAGAGUUGUGGGCCGCCGUCGGCAGCAAGAACAGAGAGAGAGGUGGACAGAUCUGAGAGAUACUGAGAUUAAAAGGAGCCCAAGCCCCAUCUCAUCCUAGCACACCCUCCUCCACUGUCCUGGCAGUAGCAGUCCCUGCACUAGGUCAGACAAUCCCCUUUGGGGUACAGGAAACAAAGCAGGAGGAGUUUGAGGUCCCUACACUGCAGCAGAAGAAGAGGAAGGAGUGGGGCCUGAAUUGACCAUAAAGGAUGUAGGGGCCACGUUGUUCCACUGUAAUGUCAAGGAGGGGGUGGCCAUUGUUUGUCCCAGCCUGGGGCUCCCCCUCUGGUUUCCUAUUUGUAGUUACUAGAAUGAAAAAAAAACAUGAUAGAUAAAUAAAUAAUCCACUGGCAGAGAUCA